Callithrix jacchus (white-tufted-ear marmoset) is the source of this 148-nucleotide unclassified non-coding RNA. It matches the Rfam family "Metazoan signal recognition particle RNA". Rfam says of the family: The signal recognition particle (SRP) is a universally conserved ribonucleoprotein. It is involved in the co-translational targeting of proteins to membranes. The record is from Ensembl. NCBI's taxonomy places the organism in Eukaryota, Metazoa, Chordata, Mammalia, Primates, Cebidae.
GCUGGGUGUGGUGACACAUACCUGUAGUCCCAGCUACUCAGGAGGCUGAGGCAGGGGGAUUGCUUGAGCCCAGGAGGUCAAGGUUGCAGUGAGCUGUGAUCACACCACUGCACUCAAGCCUGGGUGACAGAGUGAGACCCUGUUUCAA